This 861-nucleotide long non-coding RNA is filed under the name Coffea arabica (coffee). Its description in RNAcentral is "long non-coding RNA (CARA_LNC001396)". The record is from RNAcentral. Lineage: Eukaryota; Viridiplantae; Streptophyta; Magnoliopsida; Gentianales; Rubiaceae.
UGAAAUCUGGACAAUCAGUUAUGGAUUGCCAACGUUAUGGUAGUAAAAUAGCAUCUUCUGUUGCAACUAAGGAAGUGGAUAUAGGUAGUACUGAACCUGCUGGAAAAUUGUUCUCCAUCUCUGCCAUGCCCUUUUACAAAGACAAGAGCCAUGAAGAGCUGAGGUUCGAGGACUCUAAUCAAUUGUUAAGGAGUAAAGGUAAGUAUAAGGUCAUAUAGUUGUUUUUGUCUGAUGAUCUCUACUUUUGUUCCCGAUAAAGACUUUAUGAACAUUCCUGCAGCUGCAUUUGUUCCACAACAUCUAUUACAACAUGUUUAGCAUCAGCUUUGCCUGCCUCUAAUUCUGUUACAUCUUCAGAUGCAGCUUCUGGAUUCAUCUUUCAGUCUAAUCAACCCUCAGCUGGCAAGACAAACGCUUUUUUAGGGCCUACUGCUGUCACUCCACAUAGUCAACUAAAAACAUCAAGUGCAAUAUCAAUUGUAUCAGGACCUUGGACAGGCAAUUCAACUGGUUUUUCUUAUAUUGGUGACCAAUGUCGUGGAAGUAAAAUAGCAUCUUAUGUUGCAACUAGGGAAGUGGAUAUAGAUAGUACAGAACCUGCUGGAAAAUUGUUCUCCAUCUCUGCCAUGCCCAUUUACAAAGUCAAGAGCCAUGAAGAGCUGAGGUUCGAGGACUCUCAUCAAUUCAUAGGGAGUAAAGGUAAGUAUAAGUUCGUACAGUUGUUGCAUUGGUCUGAUGAUCUCUACUUUUGUUCCCAAUAAAGACAUUAUCAUCUGUCCUACAGAUGGACUACUUUCUCAGCAUCUUUUACAACAUCUUUAGCAUCAGCUUUGCCUGCUGCUAAUUUUUUUUACAUCUUCA